UCCCAGGUAGCUCAGUGGUAAAGAAUCUGCCUGCAAUGCAGGAGACCCCGGUUCAGUUUCUGGGCUGGGAA
Molecule: transfer RNA, 71 nt
Filed under: Bos taurus (domestic cattle)
Lineage: Eukaryota; Metazoa; Chordata; Mammalia; Artiodactyla; Bovidae
Also listed under: 4 other names
Rfam family: tRNA
About the family: Transfer RNA (tRNA) molecules are approximately 80 nucleotides in length. Their secondary structure includes four short double-helical elements and three loops (D, anti-codon, and T loops).
Source: Rfam by way of RNAcentral